Molecule: long non-coding RNA, 447 nt
Filed under: Brassica napus (rape)
Lineage: Eukaryota; Viridiplantae; Streptophyta; Magnoliopsida; Brassicales; Brassicaceae
Description: long non-coding RNA (BNAP_LNC015071)
Source: RNAcentral
UGUAACCCACUUUCCUAUCGUGAAUCUCACAGUCAAACUCUCCCGACCCUGCCUCCUUAUCCUCCCCGAGUUCCAUCAUUGGAUGCACGAUUAGCUGCAAAGACAACACAAGAAACAUCAGAACUUGGCUACGAACCUCAAUAUACCAAUGCAACUAAAAUAAAUGUACACUUGUACACGAAAAAAGAACCCACAGAUGUACACUUGUACACUAACAAACCAUUGUACACAUGUACAGGGACAAAUCAUUGUACAUGUAUACACUAACAAACAAAUGUACACAUGUUUAAAUGCCAUUACGAAAACUUAAACUCAAUCUUUGCACCUAUCCAACACAAGAAACAUACAAAUGCAACUAAAAUAAUUGUACACAUGUACGCAUCAACUACAUACCCAGCUUCAAACUCUCCCGUUACGUAGCCAAAUUCAGCCAGCGAGAACCUCAUC